GAGAGGUCCAUCCUGCCCAGUGACCUACGGGUUAAACGGCCGCGGUACCCUGACCGUGCUAAGGUAGCGUAAUAAUUCGCCCUUUAAUUGUGGGCUUGUAUGAACGGAUAAACGAAAGAUACGCUGUCUCUUUUGUAAUAAUAAAAUUUGACCUUCAGGUGAAGAUGCCUGAAUAAGAUUAGAAGACAAGAAGACCCCAUAGAGCUUUGUUUAUUCUGGGCCGAUAUUUUAAUAAAUUAUUUAUAAAAACAAAUAUCUCCCCAAAUUAAUCUUGGCUGGGGCGGCAUGGGAAAUUAAUCUUCCACAUAAACAAUAAAUAAGGCUAAUAAGCCAUAUUUUAAUCAUUUUAAAUGACCUUUUUAUAACCAAAAAUCAAGCUACCUUGGGGAUAACAGAUUAAUCCUUCUUGAGAGUCCACAUUAACAGAAGGGAUUGACACCUCGAUGUUGGCUUAGGGUAUCCUAAGAGUCAGCAGCAGCCCUUAAAGGUAGGUUUGUUCAACCUUUAAAACCCU
This 514-nucleotide ribosomal RNA is filed under the name cf. Terebellida sp. DH-2009. RNAcentral's name for it is "partial 16S ribosomal RNA". It matches the Rfam family "Bacterial large subunit ribosomal RNA", at positions 1847 to 2597 of the family's 2925-position model. Lineage: Eukaryota; Metazoa; Annelida; Polychaeta; Terebellida. The record is from RNAcentral.